RNAcentral lists this ribosomal RNA (253 nucleotides) under uncultured bacterium. Its description in RNAcentral is "partial 16S ribosomal RNA". It matches the Rfam family "Bacterial small subunit ribosomal RNA", at positions 524 to 776 of the family's 1533-position model. The record is from RNAcentral.
UACGAAGGGGGCUAGCGUUGUUCGGAAUCACUGGGCGUAAAGGGCGCGUAGGCGGCCAUAUAAGUCGGGGGUGAAAGCCUGUGGCUCAACCACAGAAUUGCCUUCGAUACUGUAUGGCUCGAGACCGGAAGAGGUAAGUGGAACUGCGAGUGUAGAGGUGAAAUUCGUAGAUAUUCGCAAGAACACCAGUGGCGAAGGCGGCUCACUGGCCCGGUACUGACGCUGAGGCACGAAAGCGUGGGGAGCAAACAGG